RNAcentral lists this ribosomal RNA (305 nucleotides) under uncultured bacterium. Its description in RNAcentral is "bacterial SSU rRNA". It matches the Rfam family "Bacterial small subunit ribosomal RNA", at positions 335 to 638 of the family's 1533-position model. The record is from RNAcentral.
AUCCUACGGGAGGCAGCAGUGAGGAAUAUUGGUCAAUGGGCGAGAGCCUGAACCAGCCAAGUCGCGUGAAGGAUGACGGCCCUACGGGUUGUAAACUUCGUUUUUCCGGGAGCACUGGACUCCACGUGUGGGCUUAGCGAGAGUACCUGAAGAAAAAGCAUCGGCUAACUCCGUGCCAGCAGCCGCGGUAAUACGGAGGAUGCGAGCGUUAUCCGGAUUUAUUGGGUUUAAAGGGUGCGUAGGCGGAAUAUCAAGUCAGCGGUAAAAAUUCGGGGCUCAACCCCGUCGUGCACUUCCAACUGAUG